RNAcentral lists this long non-coding RNA (377 nucleotides) under Mus spicilegus (steppe mouse). Its description in RNAcentral is "lncRNA (ENSMSIG00000012885.1)". The record is from RNAcentral. Lineage: Eukaryota; Metazoa; Chordata; Mammalia; Rodentia; Muridae.
CAUUUUCUUUCCCAGGGCAGUUGAGUUAGAAGAUUAGCCUCCCUUGCUUACUAAGAGAGGAAAUACUUCUUCCUCUACUCAGGGCAGCUGUAACCAGUUCUCCCAGAGAAAUCAUUAAACCUGAAGGAUCCUAGCACAGAGCCCAGAAGACGUGGCCGCCCUUCUUCCAGUCUCCCAGCUUACCCACUAAUUCAGCGCAGGCACCUUUCAGGGUCUUUACUACUGGCUGCUUCCUGUUCUGUCGCAAAACAAAAACUGUGUUAAGUAACCGAAACUUCUUGAAAUUCUCCUACAAAGCUCCUUUUAUGGAUAAAACUGAGCAUCUGUGUGAUGACAGAACACAGUGUCAUUUCAAAAGUCAAAAAAAAGCUGUCUGA